AGCAAGGCAGCAACACAUGACAACACAGCAUGGUAGCAACACAACAUGGCAGCAGCACAACACAGCAUGGUAGCAGCACGAAACAUGGUACAAACAUUAUUGGGCACAGACAACAGCACAAAGGGAAAGAAGGAAGAGACAAUACAUUCAGCAAAGCAGCCCCAACUGUCAGAAGUGAGGUGUACCAUCUCAGGCGAUAUACAAUAGACGUUGCUGCCUUUGGGGAAAGUACUAUGGAAUAAUGCCGUGGAAUUCAUUCUCCUGCCUCCAGGACCUGAGCCCUAGGACCAUGCCUCAGGACUACCUGGCUUGAUGACUCCUUGCUGUCCCCAGCUCACCUGGCCGUGCUGCUGCUCCAGUUCUAACUGUUCUGCCUGCAGCUAUGGAACCCUGACCUGUUCACCGGACGUGCUACCUGUCCCAGACCUGUUGUCCCAGACCUGCUGGAACCCUGACCUAUUCACCGGACAUGCUACCUGUCCCAGACCUGCUGUUUUCAACUCUCUAGAGACAGCAGGAGCGGUAGAGAUACUCUCAAAGGUCGGCUAUGAAAAAGCCAACUGACACUUACUCUUGUGUUGCUGACUUGUUGCACCCUCGACAACUACUAUGAUUAUUAUUAUUUGACAAUGCUGGUCAUUUAUGAACAUUUGAACAUCUAGGCCAUGUGCUGUUAUAAUCUCCACCCGGCACAGCCAGAAGAGGACUGGCCACCCCUCAUAGCCUGGUUCCUCUCUAGGUUUCUUCCUAGGUUUUGGCCUUUCUAGGGAGUUUUUCCUAGCCACCGUGCUUCUACACCUGCAUUGCUUGCUGUUUGGGGUUUUAGGCUGGGUUUCUGUACAGCACUUUGAGAUAUCAGCUGAUGUAAGAAGGGCUAUAUAAAU
This 884-nucleotide long non-coding RNA is filed under the name Salmo salar (Atlantic salmon). Its description in RNAcentral is "lncRNA (ENSSSAG00000092728.1)". The record is from RNAcentral. Lineage: Eukaryota; Metazoa; Chordata; Actinopteri; Salmoniformes; Salmonidae.